UUUGAUGACAAUUAUUUCUAAGAAACACCGUAAAAAAUAAGUGAUGUUGGCGAAAUCCGAGGACAUGAAAACAGCGAGCGAUGUUGGUGUUAUGUAGUACUUGACAAGGAUUUGCAUGUUAAACACAUUUCCUCCUGCAUUUGAUCCGGCUGUAAACAAUCAUAAUUAAUUAUUUGCGGUUACCAGGCUUAUAAAUACGCGCGGCUUGGUAAGUUAAAUCACUCUUGUCCACAGUUGCGUUAUCACAGGUGAUUGGGUAAAUAUCAUCAUAACUUAUUAGGAUGAACAACAAGCUGGUAGUGACGAUUCUCCUGGUGGCCGUGGGCUUAGUGUGCCUCGGUAUAAGUCCGGUGAAAGGUCAGUAUGGCCCGCCCCGCUGUAACUGGAUCUGUCGUCCGGGUGGAUAUUCGUGUCGUCCUAACGAGAUUUACGCGGGCAACUGCGUAGUCGGCGGCUGGCGACCAGGAAGUUGUUGUCGAUCGUCUUACGGCCGAUAGGAGGAAAUGGUCUUCUGAUGAUGUAUUCGUGAGAUGCUGACAGACAAAAAGAAGAGCUAACUUUCGAGAAUCCUGCUUUAUUAUGAAAUGACAUUAUGUGACGUCAUUAAAUGCGUUUAAAAAAAGAAAA
Long non-coding RNA from Pecten maximus, 627 nucleotides. RefSeq lists it as uncharacterized. The transcript is spliced from 3 exons. The record is from RefSeq and is a predicted model, not a curated record. Lineage: Eukaryota; Metazoa; Mollusca; Bivalvia; Pectinida; Pectinidae.